Molecule: transfer RNA, 65 nt
Filed under: Panesthia obtusa
Lineage: Eukaryota; Metazoa; Arthropoda; Insecta; Blattodea; Blaberidae
Description: tRNA-Met
Rfam family: tRNA
About the family: Transfer RNA (tRNA) molecules are approximately 80 nucleotides in length.
Source: RNAcentral
AGAAAAGUAAGCUAAGUUAAGCUAGUGGGUUCAUACCCCAUAAAUAGAGGUUUCUCUCUUCUCUA